AGUUUUCUCAUCCGACAUCAAUUGCAAAAAGUAGUUUUGCGAUAUAUUUUGAAGCAUACUGCGUUCAAGCCAUUUUCUCACUUAAAUGAACCCGAUGCAAGUAUCGUCCUUUCUUGGAUCGAUACUUAGAUUAAUUGCAUAAUAUGACAACGUCAUAUUUGUUCUAAUUGUCUAACAGUUAUUCUUUAGCUCAGUUUUUACUCAUUUUCUUGUCGAUGGAUCGUUUUAUUUUGCCCAAAGUGAUCCAAAUUUAUAUUUUAUCAUUUCAUAGAGUCCUUCAUAAUUUUUAAUAUAGUAAUAUAUCAUGCUUAUAUUUUUCUCUUUAGCUCUAUGAGUUAAAUCCUACACUACCCAUAUCAACUCACACCCACAAAACUUGGAAUAUUCUUUUACCUUGGCUAUGCUUACUCCACGUAUCACAUUCUGAUGAUUACCACAAAUAUUUUAUAAUUCUCUCUUACUAAGUUCCUUAUUCUAUUCUUUCUCAAUUUCUGACUCAUGACCCACGGCCCCCCACUUGUUCAUGAAAAUAUCUUCUCCAGCAUAUCACCUUACACUCUCGUUUCUUUUCUUUCUCCCAACGCCAGACCCAUUUUCUUCUUCUCUUUCACGUUUUCUUUCUUUCUUCAGCAGACCCAUUUCUGCUCCUUCUCCCUUUCUUCUCCAUGGACAACCAGCCAUGAGCCACCACCACCACACACAAAAGCUCCAACCAUGGCCACUCCAAACAGCCAUGGACACGCGAGCACCACAGCCACCGCUGGCCACCAUCACCAUAGGUUGCUUCUAAUUAAUACUAUUGGCUUUUGUUUCGGUAUUAAAUCCUUCUAAAACAGCUCCUAACUUCUAUUGUUUCUAGUUUUCCUUUACUGUGUGGCUAUUUCUCUUUUAAAGAUGGUUUUGCUCUUUUGAUUUCAAAAGGGCUGAUGGUAAUAGUUUCAUGUGGAGAAAAAGUUGAGUUUUGAAAAGUGUUCCUUUCCCAUAAGUGAUUAUAAACUUUAAAACUAGUUUUCCUCAUGGUUUUUGCAUUUGUCUCACUUGUGUACUAUUAGUUUUGGAAGAAAUAUUUACCUUGACAUUUAAAGAAAAGGGCCGAGAGCAUCAUGAGGAUUUUAAGUUUGGAAUUAAAACUUUUUAUGAGUAUAUUAUUUUUUGAGCUGAAAGGUUUUAUAAACUAUUUGGGGAUCUAGUUGUGAAUGUGUUUUAGGGAUGAAAAUUGUAUGAAAAUAAUUUUAGGGCCUAAAACACAAUAUGUUUAGAAGUUUUGGGUUAAACUUGUGUUUUAAAAGUCUUGGGGUUUGUUUGAUAAAUUUAUAAAAGAUUGAGGGUUGAAAAAGAACUUACUUUUAUGUGAGGACCUUUUCGUGAUUAUGUGCUUAUCAAGGGACUAGGGUUGAAUUAUUUAAGAGUUGAGGAGUUGUUUGCGAAAUGUGUUUUUAAGGACCUUUCUUUAAAACUCACAAAUAUUUUAUCUUUGGACUUUAGUCCUUGAAACAUAAAGUUUGUGCAUUUAGCCUAAGUGAGCUAGAAAGAUUGGCUAAGUUUGUUCUGGAACUUUAGAUGUGACUUUAGAGGCUAAGGUUUAGUAUGUGAACUUGUGAAGGGUACGAAGGACGGAAGCGCUUGACGACGAAGCCAAAGAACAAACGGAAGUGAGCCAACACGGGAAAGCAAAGAUAUGACUGGAUUUGAUUUGAGUCGCAACUUAGUAAGGAAAGCGCCGAAGAUGUCGACGGUGGAUUGGGUUUCGACGGUCUCUCCCUCAGGGGGGAUCAAGUUUGAGUUGGUGGAUCGACAUGCCCCACUGCUUGGGUGAUCGAUGUUGUGGGUCAUCGAGCGACGUACCGGGGAAGGGUCAUGGAGGACCGGACUGACGAGCGUGAACAUCUGACGAAAGGAGUUCUACGACGCAUGGAGCUGAGCUUCAACUUGCCAACUUUUGUUCGCAGUGGACUUGGUACUUGGAGGGUAGGUUUAGGCAGGAGUCAUAUUCUGUGUAGAGCUCUGAUUCGUUUUACUUUUGGGACAGGGUAGGUUCCCGACGCAUAGCUUUUCGUGUGGUUCUCUUAUUGAGGGAUCACAGUGAGUUAGUCGGACUGUAGGGGUUCUGCUUAGGCCAUUUUGAGGCCGACUUUCUACUAGUGGAUUGUAGUUACAACUUUCUUACUCAAACUUCUGGGUCUGUAUUUAUUUGCCUAGGGCACACUACUUUGGAGUCACUGCGAGUGCGCGUGACGUGGGAGUGCAGCUGAGGCUGUACAUGUUUAUAUUUGAUGUAUAUUGGUUAGUUUAGUGGUUGAGUUAUGUCUUUACUUUCUAUUGCUUUAUUUAAAAGGAAUCAAACGAAAAAAAUUACCUGUUUUCCGCGUAGAGUUUAUUUUUGGUUACUAAGGUGACACCCGGAAAUCGGGGUGUUACAUUGUGGUAUCAGAGCUUAGUCGAGUCUUUUGGGAGUCUUUGGGGAAUAGGUCUUCUGUGCUAGGUUGUGUGACUCUGCAAAGAGUGAAAAUUGAUUGUCUGCAGAGCGAUCUUCGCUCUAAUUGUUUGCGUUACUACUUAAACCAUAUUGAAUGGUUUGUCUAGUGCUACCGUAUGGUUAGUACUAAUGGGACGCUUGAUGAGAUAUAGGAUGGUGGACCUUAACCGGAUGGCGGAGGCAAUAGCUACACUGAUCGAGGCAUUGAUGAAUCAGGCUGCGGAAGACGCUUACAUACGCGCUGAAGAGGCUGCACGUGAGCAUCACCAACGACUGAUGGCGACGGCAAUGUAUCAACAAAGAGGAAUGAACCGAACAGGAGCUGGGGGACCAAUGAGGUCAGGUUCCCAAGGCUACAACGGAAGGGAGAGCUACCAUUAGUGGGGACCAUAUCAGCGUUCCGAGGGAAGAAAUCUCAUCUCAAGAGCGUACAAACCAACGACUGCUGAUACUGGAGGGAAGCCAGUUGGUGAUAAAGGUGUGACAUGUUUUCGUUGCGGAAAGUUUGGGCAUUUUGCUAACAAGUGCUCAGUGGUUGGACGGAGAUGCGUCAAGUGUAACCGAGAGGGGCAUCUAGCUGUGAACUGCAAGACACUUCAGGAGGGAACGUCUGACAGUAAGAUGAAAGGGAAUGAUGCUACCGGAGGGACAGGAAACAAGAUUUCGGGAAAAACAGUGACGUGUUACCGGUGUAGGAAAGUGGGGCACUAUAGUAACAAGUGUCCAGACGGGGGAUCUCCAUGCUUCAACUGUGGGGAAAGCGGGCACUCUGCCAGUAGGUGCAAGAUCAAGGAAAGUCUAUGCUUCAAUUGCAACCAACCGGGACAUUUAUCCAGAGAUUGUAAGGCACCCAAGGGCGAAUCAUCAGGGAAUGUUGGGAAAGGAAAACAACUUGCUACAGAGGAAAGGAUUUAUGCCAAGGAAGGAGCAAGAGCUGAGGAGUUAAACGAGGAGGAACGUGGGAACGAUGGUAAUAUUUUAACUGUCCUCUUAUUCUAGAAUAACUUACUCUUUUAUCUUUGAAGCGAGUAUGACGCGCCUAACUUGUAUUUACUACUUAGACUAUGAUCUUAUGAUUAUUAUCCCUAGUAGGACCUUAUUCGAAGUUGCUCGUGUUUUAACUAUAGAAGUUACACGAGGUUGGGAAUAGCACACUAAGUCUAGAAAGUAGUCUUCCACCGAUGCGAUUAUGAGGAAGCUAGUAGCUGAAGAACGAAUCUUAGGGACAUUCCGUAUGGGUAGUAUACGCGAUAUGUUGAGGGUGUGUAGUUCCGUAGCGGGAUCAUUAAAGGAUUUAGUAUCAGGAUAUUUGUGACUACUGGAGGAUAGGAACUCAUUGACUGUUCCAGUGGGUUUUUCUAAAUUUCCACCUUCGAUGUAUUAGGCCUGAUCAACCUAAUAUUGAGGGGGUGAUAUUCGGAAUCACAGCUGGUAAUGGACCUUGAUAGAAGGAUGUGUAAGAUGAAUUUGAAUUGAUUGAGGAUUAGUCGGAUUUGGGAGGAAAGUUCGUGUUAAGCAUUUGAUUGUAAAAGAUUAAGAUUUAAAUCUUUGGAAGUCGAUGAGUGUCGUAUAGACAUUGAUUGGUUAGUUCGUGUGAUUACUCCAAGUAGAGGUAGACUAAGUCAAGAGAUUUAGUGCUGGAAAAGUAUUAAGUAGUUUCUCGGAAGUUAUGAAGUCAUAGGUUAUGUGAUUACUGAGUGGAAUUGUUAGAGACUAAAUAGGUUGGAUUUAAUCAGGUUUUAGAUGAUAGCUUGAUGGUAGCAAGAUUGAGAAGAAUUAACUCUGAACUAGAUUGUUAUAGUUGAGUUCGAGGAAUAAGUUUUGCUAAGCGUUUGAUUAAUAUGUGGAGACAUUACAGUCUUAAGAGAUGAAUUGUCACUUGAAAAGUAUUGGAUUAAUGAUUAAGUUGGAAGAAGAAAGUUUUAGCAUAAGUUGAAUACUUGAGGUUGUUGAUAUGGAUUCCAAAGAAAUAUGCUAAGAUUACUAAGUGAGAUUUACUAAGUUGGAUUGAAAUCUUAGGGUUAAGAUUGAAUCUUGAGAGUCGAGAAUCGCGUACGAGUAGGAGAUCUUAUGGUUGUAGGUGUGACAAUAGGAGUUGAAUCUUAGAAGAUUGAAGACCUGAAGGUGAGUUUCGGGUUAAGACCAUUGAGGUAUAGUAUAAGAGAGAUCUUGAAGUAAAGGAAUUCUGGGUUGUGUAGAGUGUUAAGGUUGGUUAUAAGUUGGUGAUCGAUUGAUGUUGAUUAUGAGGUUGCGGACAUAACGACCAUGUGAUAAGAUUUGAAUGGUGUUAGCAUAAUAAGUUAUGAUUACGGAUAUCAGGAUCAAGCGGUGAGUGUGAAAGCAUGACGACACUUAUCAGGUCGUUUGUGUAAGCGAAGGAGUUAUAGUUUUAAGAAAUAAAUAUUCAUUUAAGAAGUGUUGGAGAGUUAAAGGAUAUUGGUGGUCCAAACUUAGUGAAGGUUUAGAUUUUAAGUCAAUCGAUUUGAUCACGAACGCGUGAGACAUGAACUCUUGUCAGGUUUUGAUCGAGAGACUAAGUAUUGGAACGAUUGGAGGAUGAUCAAGUUACAGAAAGGAAAGUGUUAGUAUUAAGAUGAAUACUUGAGGUUUUUAUAUUUGAACAAGUUCCGUAGAGUCUAAGAGUGAAUGGAACCUUGUCAUGGAUUUUGAUGAUGCAUAUUACGGUUAACAAGUGAAUCUUACUAAAGUUGAAUGAGAAUUCUAGGGCUAAGGUUGACCUAGUGAGCUGAGAUUCAUGUACACAUAAGAGAUUUAGUGGUGUUAGCGGUUACGAUAACGGUUAAAUCUCAGAAUGUUGAAGGAUCGGAUGAUAAAGUGGCUAGUUAAGUCCCUUGAGGUAUAGUUAUGAUUUGAUCUUCUAGAGGAUAAGUCUCGAUUUGUGCGAAGUGUUAGGGAUUUCAGUAAGUGUAAAUAGGUUUGAGUGAGGGAAGUUUUGAGGAAGAAGACGAUAAUAAUGGAUUGUUAGAUAUUAAGAGGAGGAUUAUCUUAUAAGUUGUUGAUAAAUUGAUGUUGAAGGGGAUAAGAUUAGUGAAGGACAAGGAAUAAGGACAUAAGUCGAGUUUUAAUUCGAAUAGUGACUAAGUAGAAGUUUGAUUUCUUGAUGGGUGUAAAGAUAAUUACGAAGUUGGAGGUGUUUUAAUGGACUAGCGGUUUCCAAGGGGAUGAUUCGUCUAGGAGUUAUCGAACAGACAGGUGGAGUUUUGGACUGUAGAUGAAGAUCUCGAGGACAAGUUGAGUAUUUACUUUGAAAUGACAGAGAGGCACCGAGUUUAAGAAGAAUUUCGGACGACCGAAAGUAAAGAAGUAAGUGGCUAAGGUUGUGCGACUGCACGGAGUGCCAACCGGUAUCAUUUCAAGCAGAGAUCCGACGCAAGUACUCGAGUCAGACGACAUGAAGUUGAAUGAUGGUUUGUCUUUGGAGACGCCGACAGUUAGCAGUGGGGAUAGAAGAGUGAAACAAUUAAGGGGAGAACAGAUUGCUUAAGUAAAGGUUAUGAGGAACAAUGACACGGGCAAUACUACAUGAGAAUUGGGAGAUAAGAUCGAGGAACUGUAUCCCGGACUUGUUGCAGAACUCUGAGUUUCGAGGACGAAACUUUCUUUUUGGAGGGGAGUAUUGUAAGACCUGGAUUUGCAGAACAAGUUAAUUUCCGACUCACGCGUAAAAUCAGUGUAAGCGUGACAGGAGUUUGAUAUUUGAGAAAGAUUAAUGAAGAAGAAAGUUCAGGAAUUGCUUGAGGAAUGUUGCGUAGUUGCUUUCGGAGUUAGUGCGAUUCGUCUGCACACCUGCCUUAUGGCGAGCGUGUCCAGAAUAGGUUAUUUCGCUUCUAGAGCAACGUUUCAAGUGAGAUUUCAAAUCUUUGGAAAAUUUAAAGAUUCUCUUUAUUUUUCCUUCGACCAGCGUUUCAUUUCGGAACCCUGGACUGUACGCACGAUAGUAUUCACUUUUCGGAAGUCCGACGACGCUAAUUUCUUUGCUUCGAAACCCUAGAUUCAAGCGCUGAAUGAAGACUUUUUCUAUUCGGGACUUCUAACGAAGUUUCCGUCCGCGCUGCCAGAUUUGUUUCGACGUUUCCAAUCUUUCUUCAAAAGGAAGUUUUCUCAUCCGACAUCAAUUGCAAAAAGUAGUUUUGCGAUAUAUUUUGAAGCAUACUGCGUUCAAGCCAUUUUCUCACUUAAAUGAACCCGAUGCAAGUAUCGUCUUUUCUUGGAUCGAUACUUAGAUUAAUUGCAUAAUAUGACAACGUCAUAUUUGUUCUAAUUGUCUAACAGUUAUUCUUUAGCUCAGUUUUUACUCAUUUUCUUGUCGAUGGAUCGUUUUAUUUUGCCCAAAGUGAUCCAAAUUUAUAUUUUAUCAUUUCAUAGAGUCCUUCAUAAUUUUUAAUAUAGUAAUAUAUCAUGCUUAUAUUUUUCUCUUUAGCUCUAUGAGUUAAAUCCUACACUACCCAUAUCAACUCACACCCACAAAACUUGGAAUAUUCUUUUACCUUGGCUAUGCUUACUCCACGUAUCACAUUCUGAUGAUUACCACAAAUAUUUUAUAAUUCUCUCUUACUAAGUUCCUUAUUCUAUUCUUUCUCAAUUUCUGACUCAUGACCCACGGCCCCCCACUUGUUCAUGAAAAUAUCUUCUCCAGCAUAUCACCUUACACUCUCGUUUCUUUUCUUUCUCCCAACGCCAGACCCAUUUUCUUCUUCUCUUUCACGUUUUCUUUCUUUCUUCAGCAGACCCAUUUCUGCUCCUUCUCCCUUUCUUCUCCAUGGACAACCAGCCAUGAGCCACCACCACCACACACAAAAGCUCCAACCAUGGCCACUCCAAACAGCCAUGGACACGCGAGCACCACAGCCACCGCUGGCCACCAUCACCAUAGGUUGCUUCUAAUUAAUACUAUUGGCUUUUGUUUCGGUAUUAAAUCCUUCUAAAACAGCUCCUAACUUCUAUUGUUUCUAGUUUUCCUUUACUGUGUGGCUAUUUCUCUUUUAAAGAUGGUUUUGCUCUUUUGAUUUCAAAAGGGCUGAUGGUAAUAGUUUCAUGUGGAGAAAAAGUUGAGUUUUGAAAAGUGUUCCUUUCCCAUAAGUGAUUAUAAACUUUAAAACUAGUUUUCCUCAUGGUUUUUGCAUUUGUCUCACUUGUGUACUAUUAGUUUUGGAAGAAAUAUUUACCUUGACAUUUAAAGAAAAGGGCCGAGAGCAUCAUGAGGAUUUUAAGUUUGGAAUUAAAACUUUUUAUGAGUAUAUUAUUUUUUGAGCUGAAAGGUUUUAUAAACUAUUUGGGGAUCUAGUUGUGAAUGUGUUUUAGGGAUGAAAAUUGUAUGAAAAUAAUUUUAGGGCCUAAAACACAAUAUGUUUAGAAGUUUUGGGUUAAACUUGUGUUUUAAAAGUCUUGGGGUUUGUUUGAUAAAUUUAUAAAAGAUUGAGGGUUGAAAAAGAACUUACUUUUAUGUGAGGACCUUUUCGUGAUUAUGUGCUUAUCAAGGGACUAGGGUUGAAUUAUUUAAGAGUUGAGGAGUUGUUUGCGAAAUGUGUUUUUAAGGACCUUUCUUUAAAACUCACAAAUAUUUUAUCUUUGGACUUUAGUCCUUGAAACAUAAAGUUUGUGCAUUUAGCCUAAGUGAGCUAGAAAGAUUGGCUAAGUUUGUUCUGGAACUUUAGAUGUGACUUUAGAGGCUAAGGUUUAGUAUGUGAACUUGUGAAGGGUACGAAGGACGGAAGCGCUUGACGACGAAGCCAAAGAACAAACGGAAGUGAGCCAACACGGGAAAGCAAAGAUAUGACUGGAUUUGAUUUGAGUCGCAACUUAGUAAGGAAAGCGCCGAAGGUUAGGGCAACUUUCAUAUUAGCUAUGAUUGCAUGAUAGGCGUCGAUCAAUUCGACUUAUGCUUUAUCCGAUAUUGAUUAUGAUGAUGAGUUGUUGUUAUGAUGUUUUUCCAUAACUUGUGAUAUUGUGAUAUUGUUGGAUUUGUGCGUUUUGACGCGACUUCGGAGUGGAGAUUCAUUGAUCUGGUGAUCUUUGAUAUUUCGGGUUGGAUGAACAACCCUAGGCAAGUUCAAAUGUGGGGUUUGAGAUUUAGCCAUUUGUUGGGAUUCGUUUGAAUACUUAGACUUUCCCCGGGAAACUUCUUUUGGCGGGUUUUUGGAAACUUAGAAUGAUUAGACUUUCGAAAAUUAGAGACUUUGGGAGACUUAGACUUUGAGAAAUAAACUCAUAAUCUGACUAAUCCAAUUCGAAACGUUUUUACUAAACGAAUAAUUAUAGGGAACCUAAAGGAGAAAAUGAUUGCGAAAGACGGGGAAAAGUCGACUUUUGUUGUGAGUUUGGGUUUGAGCUAGACACUUAUGUGGUGAGGACGAUUCGAUGUUUGGCUAACCAUAUUGCAUCAAUCGGGUGAAUAACGGGAAUGGUUCACCUGUGCAUUUCAUGGUGAAUAACGGGAAUGGUUCACCUUGCAUUAAUGAUGAAUAACGGGAAUGGUUCAUCAUACGGUGAAUAACGGGAAUGGUUCACCAAGGAUGAAUAACGGGAAUGGUUCAUCCAGGAUGAAUAACGGGAAUGGUUCAUCCAUAGUGAAGAACGGGAAUGCUUCACUUGUGGCGAACGGGAACGCGUCACAAAUCCGGAUCAUAUUGUGCAUUUCACGCAUACAUUCAUUCUGACUUGAAUUGUGUGCUGUUUGUUUAUUGAAGCAUUGUUAGAGCCAUAACAUGCUAGGAUUGUUUAUAUAUGUAUAUAUAUCAACAUAUAUCUAUACCCCAUAUCACAUGUUGAGUGUAUAUCUACUUAUUUCCGUGAGUUGACCCUAGCGCCUUGGCUUUGGUUUCAUGUUUGUGUUUGGGCGGUCGGCCUGCUGCCAGAUGUCGACGGUGGAUUAGGUUUCGACGGUCUCUCCCUCAGGGGGGAUCAAGUUUGAGUUGGUGGAUCGACAUGCCCCACUGCUUGGGUGAUCGAUGUUGUGGGUCAUCGAGCGACGUACCGGGGAAGGGUCAUGGAGGACCGGACUGACGAGCGUGAACAUCUGACGAAAGGAGUUCUACGACGCAUGGAGCUGAGCUUCAACUUGCCAACUUUUGUUCGCAGUGGACUUGGUACUUGGAGGGUAGGUUUAGGCAGGAGUCAUAUUCUGUGUAGAGCUCUGAUUCGUUUUACUUUUGGGACAGGGUAGGUUCCCGACGCAUAGCUUUUCGUGUGGUUCUCUUAUUGAGGGAUCACAGUGAGUUAGUCGGACUGUAGGGGUUCUGCUUAGGCCAUUUUGAGGCCGACUUUCUACUAGUGGAUUGUAGUUACAACUUUCUUACUCAAACUUCUGGGUCUGUAUUUAUUUGCCUAGGGCACACUACUUUGGAGUCACUGCGAGUGCGCGUGACGUGGGAGUGCAGCUGAGGCUGUACAUGUUUAUAUUUGAUGUAUAUUGGUUAGUUUAGUGGUUGAGUUAUGUCUUUACUUUCUAUUGCUUUAUUUAAAAGGAAUCAAACGAAAAAAAUUACCUGUUUUCCGCGUAGAGUUUAUUUUUGGUUACUAAGGUGACACCCGGAAAUCGGGGUGUUACAACCCUUCACCAUAAAAUUUCCCUGGAGGAUCCUGACUCACUCAUACUUCUUGGUUCUGUAUUGAUUUCACUCUUUGCAUGCUUUGUGAUACUUGCACAAUUUUUUAGGCUUGUAGGUUUUUGAGCUUCAGAGUUGUUGGUUUGAACAUUUGUCCAUAGUUGUCCCAUUUGAGCCUAUUGAAGAUUUCUUUGUUAGCUAAAUGAUUGGGAUGGAUGUUUGGUUGGAAUAUUGGGGAGUGAUGGUCCUUGAUUAUAUUUGUAUGGAGCUGAAAAAUUGUGAAAUAGUCUCUUGCCCCAAAGAAAAAAAUUGAAAAAAGAAAAGAAAAAGAACUCCUGAACAAAAGCUGGAGUUGUAAAAGAAAAAAAAAAGAAAAAGUUGAAAAAAAGGGGGGUACAAGAGACUUGUGCUAAAAAGUUUAUUGUGAAAAGCUCCAGGGGGUUUUAGAAUUGAACCACACUCAAUGUUCUUGAAGCCUAGAACUUCCUUAGGGACCAACCACCUUGUACUUCACCAAGCCAACAUUUCAACCCUUUGAAAGUCUCUUUGAAUUUGUGCAUGUUUGAUCUUUGUUGCUCUUGAGUGAAUGAUAUCCAGAGCCUAUGAACUGCUUGUGUGCUCAGUGCACUAAAUGUAUAUCUCAUCCUAGGAAUUUUAGAUCUAUAUGCUUCUCAUGAUGGACUCUACACUCUUCUUUGUCCGAAAGUUGCAUGAAGUAGAUUGUUGUGUCUUUCUUUUGGAACAGCUGUGGUUGCUAAAUCCCCCGGUUUUCUGAUAAGUAUUCCUUGUUGGGCACUGAUUUUGGGAGCAUUUCUUGCGCUUGAGGGCAAGCGAGUGUUUUUUUAUGCUCGAGGGCGAGCUGCCGUUGAGUAUAGUGGUGUGAUGACCCUAGUUUAGUAGUGUUUUUAGGGUCAUUUCUUUGUUUGUUUUAAGUCUUUUUGUUGAGUCUCAUGUAGUGUUUCAUGCAUUGUCAAUUUGUCAUGCAUUUUUAUCUUUCUUUGUGUUUUUAUUUUGUUUUUGUAUUUUUGUAGUUUUAUAAGGACCUUUCGUGCAUUUUGAUUAGCUAGAGGACUUGCAUAUCUUUUCUAUUUUAAUUGAAGGUUCUCCUUGCUAAUUAACUCUUUGAAGCUUCUAGAUAUCUCUUUUACUUUGUGCCUAAGUUACCAGGUCUGAAACUGAUGGAUGAGGAAGGCCAAGAAGCAUGGAAUUGAAGGAGGGCUUAAAGAGGCUUGAAGAGGAGUUACAAAGAAGCUAAAAAGUUUUUCCAGCGAGCUUGGAGCGCCUAGGCGCUGGGAAUUGGCGCCUAGGCGCCAAUUACCUUCCAGAGAGCAUGUUUUCAGCUGGAAUUGGCGCUCAGGCGCUCUGAAUUGGCGCCUGAGCGCCCAGACUCGCCUGUUUUACCUAUAAAUUGGUUUUUAGACAUUUCUCUUGGAACCUUUUGCCAUUUUAUCAUAUUUUCAUAAGAUAGAAGAGAGGGUUUGAGUUCUGAAACUUCAUGAGCUUUCUCUAAGCCCUAUGUUUCAGGUUUCAUCUUUAUCUUCUUGUAUGGAUUUCAUAGCCAUGUUUGGCUAAAACCCCUUUUGGUUUGGGUUCUUUGUAAGACUUAUGAUGUUUUAAUCUUAAUUCCUAUUUCUAUUCAUGAA
This is a long non-coding RNA of Lotus japonicus, 11684 nucleotides long. RefSeq lists it as uncharacterized. Lineage: Eukaryota; Viridiplantae; Streptophyta; Magnoliopsida; Fabales; Fabaceae. The record is from RefSeq and is a predicted model, not a curated record. The transcript is spliced from 2 exons.